CUCUGCAGUCACCACAGCUGGACUGGAGGACACAGAGGGCCAGAGGAAUCCUUCUCUUGUGAACCUAGGAGCCAUUAUUGGGGUGGUGGUGGCCACGGCUGUGCUCAUAACCCCCGUCUAUGUGAUGCUGAUCUUCCUCUGGUGGAAGAAAAGGCCAGCAGACUAAAGCUGAAACCCCAGCCAGGUGAGCAGCUGUCAUCCCAAGGAGCAGGCACAGCACUGUCUGCUAGUCCCCAACUAAUGGACCAGGGGCCAGCAUCCCUCACCAGGGUGGUGAGUUUCCAUCAAAGUAGGAUUUGCUGGUCAUACAUCCUGCAUAUCAAGCCCUUCCCUCACCAUGGCCUGGGAAUCAGAGAGCAGGGCUGCAGGCCUGUGCUGUGAAACAUCCCAUCCUUGGACAGGUACAGAAGAGAACCCCACUUCUGUCAUGUGCGCUCUGAUUUCCUUUCCUCAGAACCCAGUCAAUUUGUCUUCUCUGGUUCUGGGAUCCCAACUGUACUGUUUCCUAUCUGUCCACUUUUUAAUAAAU
Chionomys nivalis (European snow vole) is the source of this 529-nucleotide long non-coding RNA. RefSeq lists it as uncharacterized. The record is from RefSeq and is a predicted model, not a curated record. The transcript has 3 exons. Lineage: Eukaryota; Metazoa; Chordata; Mammalia; Rodentia; Cricetidae.